RNAcentral lists this long non-coding RNA (416 nucleotides) under Anser brachyrhynchus (Pink-footed goose). RNAcentral describes it as "lncRNA (ENSABRG00000014119.1)". Lineage: Eukaryota; Metazoa; Chordata; Aves; Anseriformes; Anatidae. The record is from RNAcentral.
CAGAACCCAGAUAAUUUAGCACUUUGAAUAGAAAGGAAGAUUUAUGUAAGUCAUGAUAUAUAUGACUUACUGAGGCUCCCAUUGGUUUUCUUGUAUUUCUCUCUAGUGCUCUGAUGUAUAGCAUAAAAAAGAUCUACCUGUUCCCCAGAGAGUUUUCAGAGAGAUGAGUCUGUUUCUAGCUACCAUAUCUGUGCCCUGCUACAGAAUACAGGUUAGGGAAAAGGAUGUGGCUUCCUUAGGAAAAGAGAACCCCUGUCACAAGACAGAUUACUUUGCAGGAGAGUUAAGAAAAAUACUGGAGAUAACAUGGACUAAUGUUUGCAUACACAGAAUAUCUGCUCAUAUUUCUACCUGUAACAGGAAGCUUGUGUUCAGAUGCCAGAUAUUUGAAAGAUUGUUUGCUUGUUUUCAUCAUA